GGCUCAGGAUGAACGCUAGCGGGAGGCCUAACACAUGCAAGCCGAGCGGUAUUUGUCCUUCGGGACAGAGAGAGCGGCGUACGGGUGCGGAACACGUGUGCAACCUGCCUUUAUCUGGGGGAUAGCCUUUCGAAAGGAAGAUUAAUACCCCAUAAUAUAUCGAAUGGCAUCAUUCGAUAUUGAAAACUCCGGUGGAUAGAGAUGGGCACGCGCAAGAUUAGAUAGUUGGUGAGGUAACGGCUCACCAAGUCAGUGAUCUUUAGGGGGCCUGAGAGGGUGAUCCCCCACACUGGUACUGAGACACGGACCAGACUCCUACGGGAGGCAGCAGUGAGGAAUAUUGGACAAUGGGUGAGAGCCUGAUCCAGCCAUCCCGCGUGAAGGACUAAGGCCCUAUGGGUUGUAAACUUCUUUUAUACUGGGAUAAACCUACUUACGUGUAAAGUAGCUGAAGGUACAGUAUGAAUAAGCACCGGCUAACUCCGUGCCAGCAGCCGCGGUA
This 502-nucleotide ribosomal RNA is filed under the name Epilithonimonas lactis. RNAcentral describes it as "bacterial SSU rRNA". It matches the Rfam family "Bacterial small subunit ribosomal RNA", at positions 21 to 522 of the family's 1533-position model. Lineage: Bacteria; Pseudomonadati; Bacteroidota; Flavobacteriia; Flavobacteriales; Weeksellaceae. The record is from RNAcentral.